CGCCAAAGUUGAAUCAGCGCAGAGACACUCCAGCACUUUUUAUUUGCGUCUAAAACAAGGAAAAAGGAUAAAAAUAAAAAUGACAGAAGAGGGGAAUCUGGACCUGUUGCUGUCUUUAUUUGCAGAGAGUGAGGGCCAAGAUCCAGAGACUGCUGCAGCUGCUGGAGAGAGCAGUGACAAUCUGGACGACCUCUGUGAUGGAAGAUGAAGAUGAUGAUCAAUUUGUUGAGCCUGAGGAGGAACAGGAGAAUGAGGAAGGGGUGCCACCUGGGAAAUCCAGCUCAGCUGUUGGCAACGGUGACUUGAAUAAGUCGAAAGAACAUCUUGAGGGGGAAAACCUUCAGCAUCUGGAAACUGAAUGAUCUUCAUAACUUGGAAGUGUAUGUGUCCCUCUUUCUAUUUGGGAAUAUUCACAUGGAUUUGUGGAAGACUGACACUGGAAC
Molecule: long non-coding RNA, 443 nt
Organism: Myxocyprinus asiaticus (Chinese sucker)
Lineage: Eukaryota; Metazoa; Chordata; Actinopteri; Cypriniformes; Catostomidae
Exons: 3
Source: RefSeq, a predicted model, not a curated record